GGCGAACGCUGGCGGCGUGCUUAACACAUGCAAGUCGAACGGAAAGGCCCUGCUUUUGUGGGGUGCUCGAGUGGCGAACGGGUGAGUAACACGUGAGUAACCUGCCCUUGACUUUGGGAUAACUUCAGGAAACUGGGGCUAAUACCGGAUAGGAGCUCCUGCUGCAUGGUGGGGGUUGGAAAGUUUCGGCGGUUGGGGAUGGACUCGCGGCUUAUCAGCUUGUUGGUGGGGUAGUGGCUUACCAAGGCUUUGACGGGUAGCCGGCCUGAGAGGGUGACCGGCCACAUUGGGACUGAGAUACGGCCCAGACUCCUACGGGAGGCAGCAGUGGGGAAUAUUGCACAAUGGGCGGAAGCCUGAUGCAGCAACGCCGCGUGCGGGAUGAUGGCCUUCGGGUUGUAAACCGCUUUCGCCUGUGACGAAGCGUGAGUGACGGUAAUGGGUAAAGAAGCACCGGCUAACUACGUG
Molecule: ribosomal RNA, 468 nt
Filed under: uncultured bacterium
Lineage: Bacteria
Description: partial 16S ribosomal RNA
Rfam family: Bacterial small subunit ribosomal RNA
Source: RNAcentral